UACGUAGGGGGCAAGCGUUGUCCGGAAUCAUUGGGCGUAAAGCGCGUGUAGGCGGCCCGAUAAGUCCGCUGUGAAAGUCCAGGGCUCAACCCUGGGAUGCCGGUGGAUACUGUCGGGCUCGAGUCCGGAAGAGGCGAGUGGAAUUCCUGGUGUAGCGGUGAAAUGCGCAGAUAUCAGGAAGAACACCCGUGGCGAAGGCGGCUCUCUGGGACGGUACUGACGCUGAGACGCGAAAGCGUGGGGAGCGAACAGG
Molecule: ribosomal RNA, 253 nt
Filed under: uncultured bacterium
Lineage: Bacteria
Description: partial 16S ribosomal RNA
Rfam family: Bacterial small subunit ribosomal RNA
Source: RNAcentral